This 453-nucleotide ribosomal RNA is filed under the name Proteus mirabilis. Its description in RNAcentral is "bacterial SSU rRNA". It matches the Rfam family "Bacterial small subunit ribosomal RNA", at positions 30 to 477 of the family's 1533-position model. Lineage: Bacteria; Pseudomonadati; Pseudomonadota; Gammaproteobacteria; Enterobacterales; Morganellaceae. The record is from RNAcentral.
AUUGAACGCUGGCGGCAGGCCUAACACAUGCAAGUCGAGCGGUAACAGGAGAAAGCUUGCUUUCUUGCUGACGAGCGGCGGACGGGUGAGUAAUGUAUGGGGAUCUGCCCGAUAGAGGGGGAUAACUACUGGAAACGGUGGCUAAUACCGCAUAAUGUCUACGGACCAAAGCAGGGGCUCUUCGGACCUUGCACUAUCGGAUGAACCCAUAUGGGAUUAGCUAGUAGGUGGGGUAAAGGCUCACCUAGGCGACGAUCUCUAGCUGGUCUGAGAGGAUGAUCAGCCACACUGGGACUGAGACACGGCCCAGACUCCUACGGGAGGCAGCAGUGGGGAAUAUUGCACAAUGGGCGCAAGCCUGAUGCAGCCAUGCCGCGUGUAUGAAGAAGGCCUUAGGGUUGUAAAGUACUUUCAGCGGGGAGGAAGGUGAUAAGGUUAAUACCCUUGUCAAUU